This 459-nucleotide ribosomal RNA is filed under the name uncultured bacterium. Its description in RNAcentral is "partial 16S ribosomal RNA". It matches the Rfam family "Bacterial small subunit ribosomal RNA", at positions 338 to 795 of the family's 1533-position model. The record is from RNAcentral.
CCUACGGGAGGCAGCAGUGAGGAAUAUUGGUCAAUGGUCGGGAGACUGAACCAGCCAAGCCGCGUGAGGGACGAAGGUACAGCGUAUCGUAAACCUCUUUUGUCAGGGAACAAAGGCGGGGACUAGUCCCCGGAUGAGGGUACCUGAAGAAAAAGCAUCGGCUAAGUCCGUGCCAGCAGCCGCGGUAAUACGGAGGAUGCGAGCGUUAUCCGGAUUUCUUGGGUUUACAGGGUGCGCAGGCGGCCUGGUAAGUCAGCGGUAAAAGCCCGGGGCUCAACCCCGGCGAGCCGUUGAAACUGGCAGUCGGGAGUUGGAGAGAAGUACGCGGAAUGCGCGGUGUAGCGGUGAAAUGCGUAGAUAUCGCGCAGAACCCCGAUUGCGAAGGCAGCGUACCGGCUCCACACUGACGCUGAGGCACGAAAGCGUGGGUAUCGAACAGGAUUAGAUACCCCAGUAGUC